GCUUCCAUAGCUCAGCAGGCAGAGCAUUAGGCUGUUAACCUAAAGGUCAGUGGUUCAAUCCCACUUGGUAGCG
Molecule: non-coding RNA, 73 nt
Organism: Stentor coeruleus
Lineage: Eukaryota; Ciliophora; Heterotrichea; Heterotrichida; Stentoridae
Source: Rfam